CCUACGGGAGACUGCAGUGAGGAAUAUUGGUCAAUGGCCGCAGGUCUGAACCAGCCAAGUCGCGUGAGGGAUGACGGUCCUAUGGAUUGUAAACCUCUUUUGUCAGGGAGCAAAGGGCGCCACGUGUGGCGUUUUGCGCGUACCUUAAGAACAAGCAUCGGCUAACUCCGUGCCAGCAGCCGCGGUAAUACGGGGGAUGCGAGCGUUAUCCGGAUUUAUUGGGUUAAAGGGGUGCGCAGGCGGAAUGUCAAGUCAGCGGUAAAAUUUCGGGGCUCAACCCCGUCGUGCCGUUGAAACUGGAGGUCUGGAGUGAGCGAGAAGUAAGCGGAAUGCGUGGUGUAGCGGUGAAAUGCAUAGAUAUCACGCAGAACUCCGAAUGCGAAGGCAGCAUACCGGAGCGCAACUGACGCUCAUGCACGAAAGCGUGGGUAUCGAACAGGAUUAGAUACCCGGGUAGUC
RNAcentral lists this ribosomal RNA (459 nucleotides) under uncultured bacterium. Its description in RNAcentral is "partial 16S ribosomal RNA". It matches the Rfam family "Bacterial small subunit ribosomal RNA", at positions 338 to 795 of the family's 1533-position model. The record is from RNAcentral.